CGCGGCCUAUCAGCUUGUUGGCGAGGUAACGGCUCACCAAGGCAUCGACGGGUAGCUGGUCUGAGAGGACGAUCAGCCACACUGGGACUGAGACACGGCCCAGACUCCUGCGGGAGGCAGCAGUGGGGAAUCUUGCGCAAUGGGCGAAAGCCUGACGCAGCAACGCCGCGUGGGGGAUGAAGGCUCUCGGGUUGUAAACCCCUUUCAGCAGGGACGAAAUUGACGGUACCUGAAGAAGAAGCCCCGGCCAACUACGUGCCAGCAGCCGCGGUGACACGUAGGGGGCGAGCGUUGUCCGGAAUUAUUGGGCGUAAAGAGCUCGUAGGCGGUUUAGUAAGUCAGAUGUGAAAGGUUGGGGCUCAACCCUAAGACUGCAUCCGAUAUUGCUAUGACUAGAGUCCGGUAGAGGAGUGUGGAAUUCCUGGUGUAGCGGUGAAAUGCGCAGAUAUCAGGAGGAACACCGACGGCGAAGGCAGCACUCUGGGCCGGUACUGACGCUCAGGAGCGAAAGCGUGGGUAGCAAACAGGAUUAGAUACCCUGGUAGUCCACGCCGUAAACGUUGGGCACUAGGUGUGGGGCCUUAUCAACGGGUUCCGUGCCGUAGCUAACGCAUUAAGUGCCCCGCCUGGGGAGUACGG
This 639-nucleotide ribosomal RNA is filed under the name uncultured Actinomycetes bacterium. Its description in RNAcentral is "bacterial SSU rRNA". It matches the Rfam family "Bacterial small subunit ribosomal RNA", at positions 232 to 885 of the family's 1533-position model. Lineage: Bacteria; Bacillati; Actinomycetota; Actinomycetes. The record is from RNAcentral.